CGGAAUUCGAUCCCGAUAAGAUCAAGACUGCGUCCACUGCUGCCGAAGGCUUGUGUCAAUGGUCAUUGCGAUGGAUCAAUAUGAUAAUAAUCACAUACAUCAGAUUAAACUCAAGACCGGAUUUAAGGUAAAUUUUCGACAAGAGAAAGCUCCACAAAUCCUGCAAACAAAUUAUUCCUGCGGCGACAAUGCAAAUAUGUGGCAUCCAUAACAACUUAAAUCUCAACGUAGUUACGGCCAUAAAGGUAAAGAAGAAUGUUUGUACAAGAUGAUAAACGACUUCAGGACGUCUUUUCAACGAAUACCAGCAUUAAAGGCAGUCGAUAUGAACAAGGUGAUAACUAGUGAUAUACUGACAUCGAUAUCUGCGUACCGUCUCCAAAACAGAAUAACGCCAUUGGUAUUUUUCGUUCUCAUUGCUCAUAAUACCGACAUUUAAACAUUGCAUCGAAAUAGAAAUACAAUUGAAAUUAAUCAUAGUUUAACAAUACUAAAUAUAUAUUACCUUAACAAUUUUUGUUAAAUUAAUACUACUUUAAUCUUUUUAGUUCCACAUGAUAUCAUGAUAUCAGAAUGCAAUAACAGUGCCUGCCAUAACUCAAUGUAAAUUUUAAGUAGAUUUUUCUUUGUCUUUGGUGACCCAAUUUACAAUUCAGCAUUUGCAUGACAUUGCCAAAAUUAUGAACACUUUCAAAAGUACCAAGUUUUUGGCUAUGUGCAUGUGUGCAACCAGGCAAUGAUUCAACAAAAAAAUAUCUAACAAAUUGAAAAAUAUAAGUCAAUUGAUUUCAU
Xenia sp. Carnegie-2017 is the source of this 792-nucleotide long non-coding RNA. RefSeq lists it as uncharacterized. The transcript has 4 exons. The record is from RefSeq and is a predicted model, not a curated record. NCBI's taxonomy places the organism in Eukaryota, Metazoa, Cnidaria, Anthozoa, Malacalcyonacea, Xeniidae.